AUGGUUCAGAGGAAGAUCACCUACUACGCAAUGCUCACGCCAGAGCGUCGGUACGAGAUCCAGCGGGAGAUCCGGGCGAGACAAGCCGCGCGCGCCGCCCGCAUCACUACCGGGCUGCCUCCGGACUCGCCGGAGCCGGAGAAGGAGGAGGAGCAGUUGGUGGAAGAGGAGGAAAGGGAGCUGACUCCGAUGAAGGUGGAGGAUGCAGAGGAGGCAGAGCCGCCAGAGCAGGAGAUGUCGGGCUUCAACAUGAAGCAGGCGGAGGCAGAGUUCAUCGUCGCCCAAUCGGUGGAGAUGGCGGAGAAGCAGGUCAUCCUGGAGUCCAUCUAG
Molecule: ribosomal RNA, 330 nt
Filed under: Triticum aestivum (bread wheat)
Lineage: Eukaryota; Viridiplantae; Streptophyta; Magnoliopsida; Poales; Poaceae
Description: partial small subunit ribosomal RNA
Source: RNAcentral